Molecule: long non-coding RNA, 598 nt
Organism: Dreissena polymorpha
Lineage: Eukaryota; Metazoa; Mollusca; Bivalvia; Myida; Dreissenidae
Exons: 3
Source: RefSeq, a predicted model, not a curated record
GGAUGAAAGAGGUGAGCACAGAGUGGAUGAAAGAGGUGAGCACAGAGUGGAUGAAUGAGGUGAGCACAGAGUGGAUGAAUGAGGUGAGCACAGAGUGGAUGAAUGAGGUGAGCACAGAGUGGAUGAAUGAGGUGAGCACAGAGUGGAUGAAUGAGGUGAGCACAGAGUGGAUGAAAGAGGUGAGCACAGAGUGGAUGCUUGUUGGAGAAUGAUAACAAUAGCUGUGCUAGCAGGUUUCCUUUCCUCUUAAAACAUUUAACACUUUCUAUAGUAGAACCUGUUCUUUGGCAUUGUGGUAUAAUUUUUAAAAAUAAUGCAGAUUUCCUUAAAUGCCUAAAAUAUGGUUAUUAUCACUUUUAUCCCCCAAAUGAAAGAUUUUUCUCACAAUGUGAGUACAUGUCCUAGAAAGAAUUUGUGUAGAAAAUCAUUCCUGUCUCACAGUGACCUUUACCUUAUUGUAACUCUGUUAAAUUCAUCUGCAAUUGUUAGGUUACCCUUUCAUACAAUAUUAAAAGUUUGUAUGUUUAGUUUGAUGUAUACCUACCGAGCAAUAGACCGUCAUUAGUGUCAGUGACUGUUCAGUGCAAGCAAUCCUGUC